AACGAACGCUGGCGGCAUGCCUAACACAUGCAAGUCGAACGAGCACUUCGGGUCCAGUGGCGCAUGGGUGCGUAACGCGUCGGAACCUGACCUCAGGUUCGGACUAACUCUCCGAAAGGGGUGCUACUACCGACCAAAGCCUUUGGCCCAAAGUUUUAUCGCCCUUGGAUGGGCCGGCGUUGGAUUAGUUAGUUGGUAGGGUAAAAGUCUACCAAGGCGACGAUCCAUAGCUGGUAUGAGAGGAUGAGCAGCCACACUGGGACGGAGACACGGCCCAGACUCCUACGGGAGGCAGCAGUGGGUAAUAGUGGACAGUGGGCGAAAGCCUGAUGCAGUAAUGCCGCGUGAGUGAUGAAGGCCUUAGGGUUGUAAAGCGCUUGUACCCAGGAUGAUAAUGACGGUACCGGAUGAAUAAGCUCCGGCUAACUCCGUG
This 433-nucleotide ribosomal RNA is filed under the name uncultured bacterium. RNAcentral describes it as "partial 16S ribosomal RNA". It matches the Rfam family "Bacterial small subunit ribosomal RNA", at positions 29 to 507 of the family's 1533-position model. The record is from RNAcentral.